This 60-nucleotide ribosomal RNA is filed under the name Parastagonospora nodorum. Its description in RNAcentral is "partial 18S ribosomal RNA". Lineage: Eukaryota; Fungi; Ascomycota; Dothideomycetes; Pleosporales; Phaeosphaeriaceae. The record is from RNAcentral.
UUGUAAAGUAAAGGUCGUAACAAGGUUUUCCGUAGGUGGACCUGGCGGGAGGAUCAAUUA